GUCCUAUGGAUGAUAUUCAACCAGCUGUAAAAAGUGCCUUCACGAAGGCUUCCAAGCAAGGAACUAGUUAUCCGAUCAGCAGAUCAAAUAAAUAUCUCAGGCAGGAAACACAAACUUUAAAACGAGUGGCAACACUCCUGGAGCCAUUUGAUGAGAGUUUGCCUGACAAAAGUGGAGUAGCAUCAGCUAAAAGUGUUGAAGAAGAAGCUUUUGAUGCUGAAAAUGAUGCGAGCGGGAUUGCCAGGUGCAGAAAGAGUUUUACCAAGCAUGGCGGAUGAUGGUGGUGCAGCAAGAUGCCACUAACAUUGAAUUAGGGAUGAGCUACUGAUUAAUAUAUUGGUAUCCCAUUGAUUAAUUAGUGGGGGUAGAUGUUUUCUACAAAGUUCAUUAAUGAUGAACUUUGCCUCAUCCAAGAGUAUGUAAGAUUUUUUUUUGGAAAAUCAGAUGUAUCAUGCAAUUUUUUAAAUGGAAGCAUUGAUGAAACGUCA
Molecule: non-coding RNA, 488 nt
Organism: Lolium perenne
Lineage: Eukaryota; Viridiplantae; Streptophyta; Magnoliopsida; Poales; Poaceae
Source: RefSeq, a predicted model, not a curated record